CUCUUACCCCAGCCGUGUAAUUUGCACAUCGUUUUAUAUUUUCUGUUGGGAAAUCACAAAGCAUCUAAAAGGCAAGCAGUGGUUCUCAAGCUGCAGCCAAAGAAACACCAGAGGCUUUCACACAAUCCCUUUUUCCUGAAGCCAACUCUACUGAGGAUGUGAUGUGGAUAAGGAUGUCCGGGAAGCUGGUGUUGGUGGCGGGCUGUGUUCUCAGGCCCAGGGACGCUGUGGCAGGGGCUGGAUGGGAAUGCAGCAGGGCCGUGUAUUAGCUGUGCAGCCUUGGGAAAAGUACUUCAUUGUUCUGAGCCUCAUUUUCUUAUUUGUCUGUUCUGAUUGCCUUUCAGACACCAUAGAGAUUAUUUUUCAGCUUGCUCCUCUGUGAGGAUCAACUCUAUUGAAGAAUCUAAAGUACCUGGCACAGGGUCCUGCACAUACACCUCAUUUAAAUGAUCAAGUACAUACUAAGCAGCUCAUGUUCAAUUCUGAAAACUGUCCUGGGCCUGGGCCAUGUGUUCGGAGUGUGGAGAAGAGGGAGCCAGUAGUCCCCUCCCCUGGUCAGGGCGCCUGGGUCUGCGCCAGAGAACAGAAGGGCCGGCAGCCAGGCCCCUGUCCCCAAGAGCUGGGGUGCACAUUAAAGCCUGUCAUGGCUCAGGAACUGGGCCCGCUGCGCCGGGCAUCUGGAUGUUCUUAGAUCUCUGUCUGGAUUCCUUCUGCUUGUCUUGUGGAAUUACUUAUCAGCAGCAGGCAGACCAGACCUUGGGCUUUCCUCCCCAUGGCCCAGCCCGAGGCCUUCCUAUCCGUAAACACUAGUGCAGGGGAUGGGGAAGUUGCUUCAGGACCUGUGGAUGAGGCUUCCCUGUGUGCUCCUCGGCCCCCUACGGCAGCUGCUGCUGUCUCUGUACAAAAGCAGGACCUCCAGCCUGUGCCCAGCUGCCCUCAGCAACCUGCAUCUUCAGAUGAGAGUUGUGUAGGAAUCAGAAGGGAAUUUCAAAAUUAUUUGAAAAGUGUGACUGUUGAGGGCUGUCACUUGUAUCUACUCCCUGGACCAUUUUCCCCCCACAAUACUCCUGUUAUCACCCCCUUCCCUCCAGGGUUGAUUCCACUUUCUUUGGUUAGACCCAUGAUGACAUCCCUUUGCGCUUGUGAAUCCGA
Molecule: long non-coding RNA, 1152 nt
Filed under: Pan troglodytes (chimpanzee)
Lineage: Eukaryota; Metazoa; Chordata; Mammalia; Primates; Hominidae
Description: lincRNA
Source: RNAcentral